UACAGAGGUCUCAAGCGUUGUUCGGAUUCAUUGGGCGUAAAGGGUGCGUAGGUGGCGCGCUAAGUCAGGUGUGAAAUUUCGGAGCUUAACUCCGAAACUGCAUUUGAUACUGGCGAUCUUGAGUCCGGGAGAGGUGAGUGGAACUGCGAGUGUAGAGGUGAAAUUCGUAGAUAUUCGCAAGAACACCAGUGGCGAAGGCGGCUCACUGGCCCGGUACUGACGCUGAGACGCGAAAGCGUGGGGAGCAAACAGG
This 253-nucleotide ribosomal RNA is filed under the name uncultured bacterium. RNAcentral's name for it is "partial 16S ribosomal RNA". It matches the Rfam family "Bacterial small subunit ribosomal RNA", at positions 524 to 776 of the family's 1533-position model. The record is from RNAcentral.